Long non-coding RNA from Triticum dicoccoides, 3404 nucleotides. RefSeq lists it as uncharacterized. The transcript has 14 exons. The record is from RefSeq and is a predicted model, not a curated record. Lineage: Eukaryota; Viridiplantae; Streptophyta; Magnoliopsida; Poales; Poaceae.
ACGAGAAUCCAUCGGUGGGUGCCUUUUCGAUUUCUGGUCUCUCUCAUUGAAUCCAAGCGCCCCAAUCAGCCGGCGCAGUUUGCGAUGGUUUCGGCCUCCCCAUCUCCGGCCACCGGAGCCCCUUCCUUCCCCUUCUCCAGCCGGCGGACGCCCCUCCCCUCCCAUCCCGUCAUCAGGAGAGGAGAGGAGAGGAGAGGAGAGGAGAGGGAGAUCCAGCAGGGCAGGCCAUGGCGCCGGCCAGAACCGCGCCGGGACUGAACUGGACCAAGAUCGUGUCGUCAGGAAACCAACCCCAUGGAGCUGCUCUCUGUUGCUCCUCCAGGUUGGCAGGCAGGUGCACUGAUUAUCCAUCACUAGCAGCGCCAUGGACCAGCUAAAGAUCUGAUCAACACAGCUCGCUAUAUAUCUUGGAGCAAAAAGUUUUGGAUGCAGACAACCGUGCCGUGUUGGUUUCUUCAUAGUACACGUGCUGCCAGCCGUGUAGGUUCCACUCUCCCAGCCAUGUGAUGCCAGCGAUUUCGCUCGCCACGCUGUGAACGGGGCGGUGGCGAUACCCGCCCUCGGCUACAACUUGCACUAGAUUUGGCCUCUGGAUGGAUGCUAUGGUUCCUGUAAUGUUGCUCUGUUGGUUCUUAUUCCUCAUUAGGUUCUCUCAAGCUGGAUAUUGGAGGACACUAAAGGCUGCGGUCAUGGGCCACAUUCUCUUGCGGAACUUUCUUAUUGGCUUCAUAGCAGCAAUCUCCAGGAUCUUUCUAUGGAAUUCAAGGGUUAUGUCUUCAAGAUCAUGAGUGGUUGCAAUAAGCUGGGCUUCCCUAUGAAGCAAGAAGUGCUAACUUCUGGUACGCCAUCUGCUUCACAGGGGGCAACGGUGGUGGCCAGGCCAUGUGGGUCCAUUUAUCUUGUUGUGGUCCAUCAAGGGCAACGGUGGCCAGGCCAGGCCAUGUGGGUCCUCAGGAAAGGAAGGAAUGGAUCGCCUGUGUAUCUAGUUGUUGAACAGGGCUGAUUUGUACAACUGAACAUGCCGUCGAUUUUGCUCGCGAUGCUGUGACCGCGGCGGUGGCGAUGCCCGCCCUCGGCUACAACUUGCACAGGAUUUGGCCUCUGGAUGGAUGCUAUGGUUCCCAUGAUGUUGCUCUGUUGGGUGACUCAGUACACAUGUUCUCUCAAGCUGGAUAUUGGAGAACACUAAAGGCUGCGGUCAAUGGCCACUUUCUCUUGUUGAACUUUCUUAUUGGCUUCAUAGCACCAAUCUCCAGGAUCUUUCAAUGGAAUUCAAGGGUUAUGUAUUCAAGAUCAUGAGUGGUUGCGAUAAGCUGGGCUUCCCUAUGAAGCAAGAAGUGCUAACUUCUGGUCCGCCAUCUGCUUCACAGGGGUCAACGGCGGUGGCCAGACCAUGUGAGUCCAUUCCUGAUGUGUCCUCCCUCGCGUUUCUUGCACGGGCAGAAUUACCUUGGCGGGUAGAGCAUACGACGAAAAAGGUGCGGCGGCGCUAGAGUGCGGCCAGCUGAUCGAGGGAGCUUGGAACGAUGCUCGGUGGAAUGUCGUUAUGAGCGUGGAGAUGCUGCUCCGGUGAGGUUGUUGGUGGUGACCACAGUGAGUAUAUUGCGACGUCUCCCACGACACGUUAUACAGCUAUGAAGACUCUUGUUUCUACUGCUCGCAAGAGUAGGCGCCCUUGCAUUGUUGGUGAAUCUGUUCUGGUGUGCAAUGAACGUCGUGCUGCAGACGACCUUGGCUUGUCAGUGAUCAUUGAGCAACUUGGCCAAGAACUCGCCCAACCUGAGGGUGGCCCACAUCAUAAUCAAAGAAGAUGGUGGUGGAUGAGACCGGUGCUGCUUUUGUGAUGAGCAAAACAAAAACUUGGUGGUCGCCGGCCGUGGCCUCCUGCGCGUGCGCAGCCGUAGUCUUGGCUAGUGGCCUCGGCUACAACUUGCAAAGGGAGCUCGUCCCUCUUCCUCCUCUGGUUCUCCCCCCUUGCUCUGAGCACAUGGACAUCGAGCCAUGGCUAUUUUACACCAGGUUUAAUGUCCAUGUCUGGUUAUGGUUUGGACUGGUGGUACAGUCAUGGCAUAAUGACUCCAGGUUAUGCUUGGAUGGAUUUAAUCUUUCUAAAAUAUGAGAUUUUUUGUAAAGAGCUAGUCUUGUAGGGUUUCAAUUGUCUAAAGAUUGUGGUUUUGAGAAGAUUGUUACCUUUCUGGUUUUAUGGCUGAUGUGGUCAGUAGAGAUCCAUGCGUGUUGUAUUUCCUAGUGGUGAUAUGAUGAACUAUAGAUUUGGAAGUUUGCUUUGUACAACUGCACUAUAGAGUUGGAUUUUUUUCGUGGUUGCGUGAUGUCGAUGAUGAUUACUGUGAAGCUUUCUCAAUGUAAUCACUAAUGAUUGCAUAACCUACUGCUUUCCUCUGUUGCAUAAUGUCCCUCUCAAUUCUUCUCUCUUGAAAUAGUGGUUUUGCGUGAUCCCUUGUGACAGAAAUUAUUGGGACUUCAAGAUGCAAAGGUAAAACAAUUUUUGAUGCUGCUGUUUAGGUUAGAUAGUCACACUUUUAUUUCUGUCAAUUGCAUGGCAUGGUAUCUAGACUAGGUGUCGUUGAUGUUCUCAAUAUAUUCAUGCCUUUUUAUACCUUGAAUGAUCCAUCAGCAUCCUGUAAAGACUAGUCUCAUUGAUGGUAAUAUUUAUAAGUAUACAUGUUAUCAGAACACACAAAAUGAACCCUGUAUUGCUUUGUUCAUUUCAAUUUCGUGUAUUGUGCUAUUGUUUUACUCUGAGUUGGCCUGAUCCGGUUUUUUCCACAAAUGCAGGUGCCAUUGUUGUUGAUUCCAUUGUUCAUGGCCAUCUGAAAAGCUAAGGAACUGUUCAAACCUUGAAAUAAACUUGAACACCCUGCAGUUGUGUAAUUGAGGAGCCCCAUGACAUCAACAAGAAUGACGACGAUGAUGCGGAGGAGGAGGACCUCAACUACACACCACACAAAGUCCCUAUUGUCUGUCGGCAAUGGCUUCCUUCCCUGCAGCAGACCUGGACCCCAUGCCCAAGCUCACGAGGUCACCGUUGAGUCCGACCUCCACCUCGAUCAUGACGACGACGACCCGCACAAGGUCGAUCCCUACUUUACCACAAAUAUGUUCUUUCUUUUGUGAAGUAACAGUUCCUUGCUUUGUGUAAUGUUAAGAAACUGUUUGUUGAGACAACAAUUAGUCUCUCCCGGCUACAGGAACUGUUUAUAUGCAUUUGCUUAGGCUUGGAGCAUAACUCAUAAAUCAGUUACCUGUUUUGCAUAUCCUAUGAAUUUGAGCCUUAUCUGUUUGCUAUUUCUCCAUCUCAAAUCUCCAUCAGUAAGCUAAAAAAAGACUAGCUAGCUAAUCCUCUGUAAUUAGCUUGCUUCCCCCAUCUCACGCUGAAACCCUAG